Molecule: transfer RNA, 62 nt
Filed under: Trigonopterus sp. 6 AH-2016
Lineage: Eukaryota; Metazoa; Arthropoda; Insecta; Coleoptera; Curculionidae
Description: tRNA-Trp
Source: RNAcentral
AAGAAUUUAAGUUAAAAAAACUAUUAGCCUUCAAAGCCAAAAUUAGAAUAGUCUAAUUCUUA